Oncorhynchus mykiss (rainbow trout) is the source of this 1040-nucleotide non-coding RNA. The record is from RefSeq and is a predicted model, not a curated record. Lineage: Eukaryota; Metazoa; Chordata; Actinopteri; Salmoniformes; Salmonidae.
GUCAACAUAGUACUGAGUAAAGGGUCUGAAUGCUUAUGUAAAUAUAAUAUUUCAGUUUUUGCUGUUAGAAACCCGUUUUUGCUUUGUCAUUAUGCAUUAUUAUGUGUAGAUUGAUGAGGGGGUAAACGAUUUAAGCCAUUUUUUAUUAAGGCUGUAAUGUAACAAAAUGUGGAAAAAGUUAAAGGGUCUGAAUACUUUCCAAAUAAACUGUAUGUUAUUGUGUUCUGUUAAUACAUUGUUGUUACCAGAUGGAAAAGACUGCUCGCUGACUUUUGUGGCACAUGGACUGAGGAAGGCUUGUGUUCAGGGACACAGUGGUAAUCAAGGCUGCAUCAAACGUGUUCCUCCUGCAUUGAUGAUUGUGAACUGCAACACUUUUCCAUUCAUCAGAAGAGUUACAUAAUCGUGUGUCUCUUUCUGCAGGGUUAGUGUUUGAUGUACUGGCCCCUUGCCUUUCCUCCUGCAAGAGGUGUGGCAGAAAGGGUGUGCUGGAAGCUGCUGGAGAGCGUAUUCACUGGGCUGGUGCAGGCUGUCAAAAGGGAAGGGAAGGGGAGAUAGCUAGAGGUUAUAAAAAGGUGUCAAACUGUCUGCAUCUCUUUCUCUCGUAAUGUAAGUGUUAUUUUUCCUCUAGGCCUGAAAGAGGACCAGGAUCAUGGGGAACCUGGUGUUAAAGAACAAAAAGCCUGUGUUUGUCAUCACCCAUAAACUACUGCUGCUCCAAUACAAGUAUGAGGUGCUGCGGUCACUGUGCCAGGCCUGAGGCAGACCCCUUCGGGAGCAGCAGCUCUAUGUGAGCUGGGGUCUGCUGCUAGCUGCUGCAGUUCAUGCUGGGAGAGAUUCAGAGCCACAUGGACAGCAGCGUAGUGUGUGUGAGGGGCAUGGUGGUGGGGAAGUGUCUCUGCUCCUGCAUGGACAUCAGAGCCAAGCUCAAAUUGGAGGUACAGUACAGUUUGGCACCUUACCCAAGGUUUUGGGUGCAUCACAAUAGUCUGAAGUGGCUCACUGUCAAUAUAUUCUGUUCUCUGCUCAUACUGAUCUGA